CCACCCGCCAGGCUCGGCCAGAAGUUAAGCCGAAUGACACCGGCAGCGGUGGGCUAAGCAGGCCGGGCUCCCCGUCCCCAGCUGCGCCUUGCGGGCCACCCGCUCCCGCGCUCCCGGCCGAAGUUCCUGAGCCCAGAAGCUGCGGAGUGGAUUUCUUUGGGUCUUUAUUUAUAUAUUUAUUCUCUGGCUCGGACUCCCUCCUCCCCUCUAUCCCUCCUCUCCACGCCUCUUUCUGCUAGCCCUCACACCCGGUCCCCCGGAGGACUGGAGCGGGGGACUCGCGCCUGCUCGGAUUUCGGACUGGAGGGGAGGCGACCCGAGCGACAGGGUUGGGGAACACAAGAGGAAAAGCGAGGGGGCGCGAGCGAUCAGCUGGCUCUCCCAUCCAUCCGUCCUUUGUGGUGUGCUCCUGGGCUCUCACUCCCGGUGUGUGGAGGCUGCUGAGGUCAUAGAGCGGUUUCCUGGUGUCAUCAAACAAGCUUAGCACAGAGAACAGCUCGGAGUCUGUCCCUCUCUCCAACAACCACCACAAAGCAGAGACACCAUGGAUGCAUCAUUGCUGCGGAAUGGCCGCUGGGGCUGGAACUCCGAGUCCCGUAGAGCUCUCUUGGACCGGCAACGCUGACCCUGCGCAUGCACAUGUGUGAAGAACGCUGCCGAUUUAUGAACCUUGAGGAGUGGGCCACAGACAAGGAACCUCUCAACAUCUUCUGGGAGCCUGUGAAGAAUGAAGCUUCUCAGGCCCCACCCCUACCCCAUCAAAUCCCACCCCACCAGACCGCACCCCUACCUCCAACAGAUUCCACUCCUACCUUUAAUAGACUCCACCCCUACAACACCAGACCCCACCCCCUUCCCCCAACAGACCCCUCCCCCACUCCCAACGUAUCCCACCCUCUCCAGACCCCAUCCCUACCUCUAACAGACUCCCGCACCACCCCUUGCCAGGCAGCAAAGGAGCUGAGUCAGAGCUCUGAAGACUGGGAAGAGGCAAGUCUCAGAGGCAGCAGUCUGUUCCCACAGCCUUCUGGAAGAUUCCAAGACACAUGACUAUUGAGAGUCAGUGAAGCUGAGAGCCCAGUACACGCAGGACCCGCAGGACCCGGCGUGUCUGAGGAGGACAAGGGCUCUUCCCAUCUUCUCGCAUACUCCCAGGGCGGGGGACCGGUGGGGGGGGGGCCUCUGCUAAACUCAUUUCUGAGAUUGGGAAGCCAGGCUCUGGUAAAUGAGUUAGUGUCUCCGCCAGCCCUCCCUCUCAGCACACAGAGACAGCUGAUUAAUAGGACCGAUUCCCCAAAGAUCUCCCAACAUACAUUAAGCCAAGAAAGUCUUUGAGAAGU
Mastomys coucha (southern multimammate mouse) is the source of this 1340-nucleotide long non-coding RNA. RefSeq lists it as uncharacterized. The transcript has 4 exons. Lineage: Eukaryota; Metazoa; Chordata; Mammalia; Rodentia; Muridae. The record is from RefSeq and is a predicted model, not a curated record.